Molecule: ribosomal RNA, 441 nt
Filed under: uncultured bacterium
Lineage: Bacteria
Description: partial 16S ribosomal RNA
Rfam family: Bacterial small subunit ribosomal RNA
Source: RNAcentral
CCUACGGGAGGCAGCAGUGGGGAAUAUUGGGCAAUGGGCGCAAGCCUGACCCAGCAACGCCGCGUGAAGGAAGAAGGCUUUCGGGUUGUAAACUUCUUUUCUGAGGGACGAAUUUUGACUGUACCUAUAAAUGCAGCACCGGCUAACUCCGUGCCAGCAGCCGCGGUAAUACGGGGUGUGCAAGCGUUGUCCGGAAUCAUUGGGCGUAAAGCGUUCGUAGGCGGCAAGGUAAGUCUGAUGUUAAAGCCCGGGGCUCAACUCCGGUUCGGCAUUGGAUACUAUCUAGCUAGAAUGUGGUAGAGGUAAAGGGAAUUCCUGGUGUAGCGGUGAAAUGCGUAGAUAUCAGGAGGAACAUCGGUGGCGAAAGCGCUUUACUGGACCAUUAUUGACGCUGAGGAACGAAAGCCAGGGGAGCAAAUGGGAUUAGAUACCCUGGUAGUC